Molecule: ribosomal RNA, 340 nt
Filed under: Drosera capensis
Lineage: Eukaryota; Viridiplantae; Streptophyta; Magnoliopsida; Caryophyllales; Droseraceae
Description: eukaryotic LSU rRNA
Rfam family: 5.8S ribosomal RNA (bases 1-94)
Source: RNAcentral
GGUGUGAAUUGCAGAAUCCCGUGAACCAUCGAGUCUUUGAACGCAAGUUGCGCCCGAGGCCACUACGGCCGAGGGCACGUCUGUCUGGGCGUCGCAUGCAGCGUCACCUCACACCUCGCCCCCGCGUGGAGGUGUCGGUGGAGUAUGGCCUCCCGUGUCGUACGUCGUCUCGAUGCGGUUGGCUCAAAUGGGAAGCUCGGGGAAACGGAUGCCGUGGCAAUGGGUGGUCAGCGAGUUGUCGGAAAGGCACCGUCGGUCAUGUCACGUCUUGGUUUCCUCGAGCUUGGUUCGAUCCCGUUCUACGGGUUAAAAGGCGACCCCAGAUCAGGCGGGGUUACCC